Symphalangus syndactylus (siamang) is the source of this 407-nucleotide long non-coding RNA. RefSeq lists it as uncharacterized. The record is from RefSeq and is a predicted model, not a curated record. Lineage: Eukaryota; Metazoa; Chordata; Mammalia; Primates; Hylobatidae.
AUAGUCUCUUGUGAUCCUCAACCAUGUGUUGGUUCUAUAAUGAGCUAGAACUCUACUGAAGAGACUUUAUGGGAUAAGGAAGAGACACCAUAGAUUUCUCUUUCUGCAUGCAUGCACAGAAGAAAGUCCAUAUUAGGACACAGUGAAAAGAUGGCCAUCUACAAGCCAGGAAGAGAGGCCUUAUCAGACACCAACGCUGACAGCACCUGGAUCUUGUACUUCUAGCCUCCAGAACUGAAAUUGUCCUUUUCACCUAAAUUUUUGAAUAUCUUGGCAUGAGUACACAGUUUGAUCCUAAAACUCAUAUGGAAAAAUAAACAGUCAAAUAGCCAGGAAAGCUCUGAAAAGGAAGAGCAAUGAAGAAGGCCCAGAAUUACAGAGCAAUAAAACAAAUUGUAUAAGCACCA